GGACCCUCCUCCUAACUGCCUGGAACUCAGUCUUCUUCUGGUUCCCUUUGGAACAAGAUGUGGAACUCUCAGCUGUGUCUCCAGUGCCACGCCCGCCUGGAUGCUGCCACAUUUCCCGCCUUGAUGAUAAUGGACUGAGCCUCUGAGCCUGCAGACAGAGUCAGAGCCAGACUGGGUUAGAUAGAGGACGCCCACGGAGAGCCUGCUGCAGAAAUGAUGGCUUGCCUACUGGUGGGAAGACAUGACUGAAAUAUCUGAGGUCACAGAAGGGAUCUGCGUGGGAAGUGUACGAUAAGAGAAAUGGAGGCUGACUUCAGGUUGGUUUCCUUUCAUAAUGCCUCCCUCGGCGGGCCCAGCCAUUUCCUCUCCUCUCCGCCUGACAUGUAGAAUCUUGGAUUGACCAGAAGAUUUAUGUGUGUAUCCCUUGUACACAUGCCCACAGGAAGGUGCGAGUGGAAAAGUGUGUUCCAGGUGUUUCGCCGGCAAACCCAGCUGCAUCCUAGCAGCUGCCCAGCCAACAGCAGUUCCAAGAGCUUGUUUCACAUGUUGGUGAUGAACCCAGGGGCUCACACUUCCCUUGCGGCGUGCCCCCAGUCCCCUGAGUCCAUUUUGAUGUUAGCAUCCAUCCCCCACCCGGGUCAAUGAACAGGCGGAUUCCAGCUGGGCUUCUUCACAAAGGUCUAUAAUCCCAGAUACUCCAGAAGACAGCAAAUUCAAGACCUCCCUGGGCUACAAGAUGAGUUCAAGGUCAGCCUGAGAGACUUGCUGAGGGCUUGUCUUAAGAGAGCUGUCCCCUCAAGAGAUAUGUCCCUCAUAUACUCAGUGGUGGUGAAACAUUUUGCCCUAAAGAGAAACAGGGCAAUCCCAAGGUGUGUGUGUGUGUGUGUGUGUGUGUCUUAACUUUGUGAGCAUAUUUUUGUCUUUUCUGAUCCGCAGGCAGCUGCUCUGCUGAGAACUUUGUUUAUCCCCCUGGUUUUCUCCACUGGUUACUAAAUAUACACUUCAUGCAACACACUGUUUUGCCUCUGUUUAAAGCUGUUCCAGAAAUGGAAUGCUAUCAUAUAUGUUCUUUCAUAUCCUUUAAAGUUUUAUUUCAACAGCUUUAUUGGGACACCACUCACCCACCAUACAAUUCAUACAAUUGUCUCAUUUGAAAUGUACAUUUUUUUGUUUUUGUUUUUGUUUUUGAGACAGGGUUUCUCUGUAUAGCUCUGGCUGUCCUGGAACUCACUCUGUAGACCAGGCUGGCCUCGAACUAAAAAAUCCACCUGCCUCUGCCUCUGCCUCCCAAGUGCUGGGAUUAAAGGCAUGCACCACCACUGCCUGGCUUCAAAGGUUUAUUUUAUUGGUACUUAGUACACUCACAUAUUUGUACUUCCACAACUAGACAUGGUAGCACACACCUGUAGACACAGGACACAGGAAGCUAAGGAAGGGGGAUUGGGAGCGCUCUGUGAGUACAGGCUAUAUUAGAACAGUAAAGGAAGGAAGAAGGAAGAGAGGGAGGAAAGGAAGGAAGGAAAGGAAGGAAGGUGUAUUAGUCAGGAUUCUCUAGAGUCACAGAACAUAUGAGCAGUCUCUAUAUAGUUAGGGAAUUUGUUGAUGACUUACAGUCUGUAGUCCAACUCCCUAACAAUGGUCAGCAGCAGCUGUAGAUGAAUUCAUAGCCACUAUGCUUCAAGAUCUCCAUGCCAAGGUCCAGGCCAGAAACUUGUAUCUUUGAGCCUCCAGAUUAGGAUCAUAGGUGAGCCUUCCAAUUCCUGAUUGUAGUUCA
Molecule: long non-coding RNA, 1774 nt
Organism: Apodemus sylvaticus (European woodmouse)
Lineage: Eukaryota; Metazoa; Chordata; Mammalia; Rodentia; Muridae
Exons: 3
Source: RefSeq, a predicted model, not a curated record